RNAcentral lists this ribosomal RNA (253 nucleotides) under uncultured bacterium. Its description in RNAcentral is "partial 16S ribosomal RNA". It matches the Rfam family "Bacterial small subunit ribosomal RNA", at positions 524 to 776 of the family's 1533-position model. The record is from RNAcentral.
CACGGAGGGUGCAAGCGUUAAUCGGAAUCACUGGGCGUAAAGCGCACGUAGGCGGCCUUGUAAGUCAGGCGUGAAAGCCCUCGGCUCAACCGGGGAACUGCGCUUGAUACUGCUUGGCUUGAGUAUCGGAGAGGGUGGCGGAAUUCCAGGUGUAGGAGUGAAAUCCGUAGAUAUCUGGAGGAACACCGGCGGCGAAGGCGGCCACCUGGACGAAUACUGACGCUGAGGUGCGAAAGCGUGGGGAGCAAACAGG